GAUGAACGCUGGCGGCGUGCCUAAUACAUGCAAGUCGAGCGAACAGAUGAGGAGCUUGCUCCUCUGACGUUAGCGGCGGACGGGUGAGUAACACGUGGAUAACCUACCUAUAAGACUGGGAUAACUUCGGGAAACCGGAGCUAAUACCGGAUAAUAUAUUGAACCGCAUGGUUCAAUAGUGAAAGACGGUUUUGCUGUCACUUAAAGAUGGAUCCGCGCCGCAUUAGCUAGUUGGUAAGGUAACGGCUUACCAAGGCGACGAUGCGUAGCCGACCUGAGAGGGUGAUCGGCCACACUGGAACUGAGACACGGUCCAGACUCCUACGGGAGGCAGCAGUAGGGAAUCUUCCGCAAUGGGCGAAAGCCUGACGGAGCAACGCCGCGUGAGUGAUGAAGGUCUUCGGAUCGUAAAACUCUGUUAUUAGGGAAGAACAAAUGUGUAAGUAACUAUGCACGUCUUGACGGUACCUAAUCAGAAAGCCACGGCUAACUACGUG
Molecule: ribosomal RNA, 497 nt
Filed under: uncultured bacterium
Lineage: Bacteria
Description: partial 16S ribosomal RNA
Rfam family: Bacterial small subunit ribosomal RNA
Source: RNAcentral